Molecule: ribosomal RNA, 255 nt
Filed under: uncultured bacterium
Lineage: Bacteria
Description: partial 16S ribosomal RNA
Rfam family: Bacterial small subunit ribosomal RNA
Source: RNAcentral
UACGGAGGGUGCAAGCGUUGUCCGGAAUCACUGGGCGUAAAGGGCGCGUAGGCGGCUCAUGAAGGCUGUGGUGAAAGUCCGGGGCUCAACCUCGGAUCGGCCGUGGCGACUCGUGGGCUGGAGCACUGUAGAGGCGGGUGGAAUUCCGGGUGUAGCGGUGGAAUGCGUAGAGAUCCGGGAAGAACACCAGUGGCGAAGGCGGCCCGCUGGGCAGUGGCUGACGCUGAGGCGCGACAGCGUGGGGAGGCAAACAGG